Molecule: ribosomal RNA, 388 nt
Filed under: Chlorodendrales sp.
Lineage: Eukaryota; Viridiplantae; Chlorophyta; Chlorodendrophyceae; Chlorodendrales
Description: partial small subunit ribosomal RNA
Rfam family: Eukaryotic small subunit ribosomal RNA
Source: RNAcentral
AUUCCAGCUCCAAUAGCGUAUAUUUAAGUUGUUGCAGUUAAAAAGCUCGUAGUUGGAUUUCGGAUGGGAUUUGCCGGUCCGCCUUUGAGGUGUGCACUGGUAGGUCCUAUCUUGUUGUCGGGGACUAGCUCCUGGGCUUCACUGUCCGGGACUAGGAGCCGACGAAGUUACUUUGAGUAAAUUAGAGUGUUCAAAGCAAGCCUACGCUCUGAAUAUAUUAGCAUGGAAUAACACGAUAGGACUCUGGCUUAUCUUGUUGGUCUGUGAGACCAGAGUAAUGAUUAAGAGGGACAGUCGGGGACAUUCGUAUUUCAUUGUCAGAGGUGAAAUUCUUGGAUUUAUGAAAGACGAACUUCUGCGAAAGCAUUUGUCAAGGAUGUUUUCAUCA